RNAcentral lists this ribosomal RNA (600 nucleotides) under Enterococcus gallinarum. RNAcentral's name for it is "bacterial SSU rRNA". It matches the Rfam family "Bacterial small subunit ribosomal RNA", at positions 38 to 610 of the family's 1533-position model. The record is from RNAcentral. Lineage: Bacteria; Bacillati; Bacillota; Bacilli; Lactobacillales; Enterococcaceae.
GACGUGGCGGGUGCUAUACUGCAGUCGAACGCUUUUUCUUUCACCGGAGCUUGCUCCACCGAAAGAAAAAGAGUGGCGAACGGGUGAGUAACACGUGGGUAACCUGCCCAUCAGAAGGGGAUAACACUUGGAAACAGGUGCUAAUACCGUAUAACACUAUUUUCCGCAUGGAAGAAAGUUGAAAGGCGCUUUUGCGUCACUGAUGGAUGGACCCGCGGUGCAUUAGCUAGUUGGUGAGGUAACGGCUCACCAAGGCCACGAUGCAUAGCCGACCUGAGAGGGUGAUCGGCCACACUGGGACUGAGACACGGCCCAGACUCCUACGGGAGGCAGCAGUAGGGAAUCUUCGGCAAUGGACGAAAGUCUGACCGAGCAACGCCGCGUGAGUGAAGAAGGUUUUCGGAUCGUAAAACUCUGUUGUUAGAGAAGAACAAGGAUGAGAGUAGAACGUUCAUCCCUUGACGGUAUCUAACCAGAAAGCCACGGCUAACUACGUGCCAGCAGCCGCGGUAAUACGUAGGUGGCAAGCGUUGUCCGGAUUUAUUGGGCGUAAAGCGAGCGCAGGCGGUUUCUUAAGUCUGAUGUGAAAGCCCCCGGCUC